CCUACGGGGGGCAGCAGUGAGGAAUAUUGGUCAAUGGGCGGAAGCCUGAACCAGCCAAGUCGCGUGAGGGAUUAAGGCCCUGCGGGUCGUAAACCUCUUUUGCCGGGGAGCAGAGGUCCGGACGUGUCCGGGCCGGGAGAGUACCCGGAGAAAAAGCAUCGGCUAACUCCGUGCCAGCAGCCGCGGUAAUACGGAGGAUGCGAGCGUUAUCCGGAUUUAUUGGGUUUAAAGGGUGCGUAGGCGGGCAUUUAAGCCGGCGGUCAAAUGUCGGGGCUCAACCCCGGCCUGCCGUCGGAACUGGGUGCCUUGAGUGGGCGAGAAGUAGGCGGAAGGCGUGGUGUAGCGGUGAAAUGCAUAGAUAUCACGCAGAACCCCGAUUGCGAAGGCAGCAUACCGGCGCCCGACUGACGCUGAGGCACGAAAGUGCGGGUAUCGAACAGGAUUAGAUACCCCAGUAGUC
RNAcentral lists this ribosomal RNA (460 nucleotides) under uncultured bacterium. RNAcentral describes it as "partial 16S ribosomal RNA". It matches the Rfam family "Bacterial small subunit ribosomal RNA", at positions 338 to 795 of the family's 1533-position model. The record is from RNAcentral.